Long non-coding RNA from Brassica rapa (field mustard), 4120 nucleotides. RefSeq lists it as uncharacterized. NCBI's taxonomy places the organism in Eukaryota, Viridiplantae, Streptophyta, Magnoliopsida, Brassicales, Brassicaceae. The record is from RefSeq and is a predicted model, not a curated record.
CGAAUCAUUAACUAAUUUUCAUGCAAUAGUUAAACUUGAUGGUUCGAAAAUUUUAAUUACGAGUAAAUAAUCUAUACUAUUAAAACAUGAUCACUCAUUUUUUUCUCUUUAAUGAAAAACUCAAUUUUAUCUAAAAUGUCUAUACUUUUCCAAAGAAAUAUUAAUUCUCACUAGUGGCAUUUUAAUCUUUUGGUUUUGGCAUAUAACAAUACAGCUCAAACAAAUCAUGAGUUUGGGUUAUAAUAAUCAAACAUUAUUCAUUAAAUAAAUGUUCAAAUUUGAAAACUCAUCAGUAUCAUUUGAGAAAAACAUUUUAUCAUACACGAAUGAAAUUUAGUCUUAAAUAUAGUCCAUAAAUCAAAAUUUUAGUGGUCAUACUUUUUAUACACAUAAAAUUCAUUAAGAAUUACAUCUUUAUUAAACUCAUUAUACACAAACAAUACUUUUAUUAUACACACACCAGUAGGAAACAGCUUUAACCACAUUUUUUUAUUCUUUAAAAUCAUAACUACUCAACAUUACAAUAUAACAAUGUACUACAACAAUAUGACUAUAGCCCAUCGAGACAUAUCAAAUUCGACCACGUGAUAUAUUAUUUUCUAAGAAAUCAGAUUCAUUCAUUUGAGUCCACGUGUUUGUUCUUUUAAUUUCUUUAGAUUCAAAUCAUUUUUAAAAAGACUACCUCCAACUAGUUAAUAACGUUUUGUGGGUUUUUACCGGGUUCGAAGAUUUUAAAUUAAAUAUUUUUUCAACUAAUCUGAACUGGAUUAUAUACAAAGCGUCAUGUCUACCGAUUCGACCACGGGUCUGGGUUACAUACAAAAAAACUGCUUCAAACUCAACCAUUAUAAUAGAAAAACUUUUAAAUUAUUUGUUAUCUAAUAAAAAGUUAUAAAUUCAUCCAUAUUUUAUCAAAAUGGAAAACAAAAAAAAGACACACACGCUUUGAAAGAACGUGCCAAAAAUAGUAGUAGCUUCUAAAUAGAAUAUGAUUAAAAAUAAUGUAUAUUGAUGGUUAAAAUUAUGAUACAAAUGCAUGACAAGAAAACACAUUUCCAAAUUUAAAAUCGACAAUUCAUAUCAUUACGACAUUUCAAUAAUGAGUUUUUUCAAUAUAGAAUAUAUAUACUAUUAAAUCACAUAUAAAAUCUUUAAAUCUAUAUCAAACAAAUACCACACUUGAAAAAAGCAAAUAAUAAAAACAUCUAUACUCAAUUUUUAAAAAUCAAAAUGAAAACAAUUGUAGUGUUUAUAUCAAUUUUGGACCAUAAGUGAAAAAGCGAACUCGCAUGUUAACAUUUGGAUAACAACAUGAUUUGGAAUUGUGAUAUUUUUACUUUAAAAUCAUAUAUAUUGUAUAUGAGUUGUAGAUAAUAUAAAAUUUCAAUGUUAUAAACAGUAAAUAACACAUAAAUAAAUUACUUUUAUAUUAUACUUCUAAAUUAAUAAAAUAGACAAGUUAGAGACUCAAAAUUUUAUAAUUUGAAAGAUAAUAGCUUUAUUUGUAAUAAACUUAAAACAUAUAACAUCAGUUAAAUCAAACUCAAUAAGCACCUAAAGCUCUUCCAUUUUUCUCGUGUCGACUUGUGUCUCAAGCUCUUCAUACUUGUCCAGUAAAUUCCAGAUGCAAUCUUGAAGUUUUGUUUUGAGUAACGCUUGAACCGGUCCUUAAUUUGGACCCAGUGUAUACUUUAAUGUAUGGAGUCUUCUUUAGCAUUCAUACUGUGUGAUAUUGAAGUAGUCUAUGGUGACUUAUGUUGGACAUAAUAGUAAAUAUUCAAAGUCUUACUUCAUGUUUUAUUCCUCGACUGAAGUAGUCGAUGGUAACUUCUGCUUGUACUUAAAUUUUAUCUCUUUGUACAUUAGAAAAUUUAACAUUUCUUCCUCAAUCUUCAAUAAAAUUAAUAUAAAUACUACCGAUCCACAAAAAUUUCUUUACACCUCUUCAUUCUCAAAUAGAAAUAAAGCAAAAGCAAAAAAGUUCUUUCAUAAUGUCUUCUUCAAGACUCACAAUUGGAGUCCAGUGAGUGCAUUAUCCGAAGUGUCAGCAAAGCCAUUGGGUGUCAGUGGAGAGAAACUGAGCUUGGUUUACUUACACAACCAUUGGAGAUCAGCAGAGUUUGAGCCCCAAAAUUGGACACUAAUGCCUCCUCCAUCAAAACGCGGAAUGAUUGUGGACCCUCCCGUCAAGACAGCAACACGUUUUAAGGUGGUGGCAAAGAGAGCAUCAUUGAAGCCGGUUUCGUGAUUAUUCACUCUUGCUUGGAUCUACUUAUCUUUUGAUGACGUUUAGUGAUGUGUUAAGACCUUAUUUCUGUCUAUGUUUGCUACGGUUGUUUGCUUCAUGUUUUCUGAAACUUAUUUUGUAUUGUUGGUUACAUCUAUUGAUCACAUUUAUACGAAUAUCCCAUAUUUUAUAUAUAUUAUGUUAUAUAUGAAUAUUUGCACAUUUUACAUGCAAAAAUGAAUGUUAUUUUUAACCAUCUAAUUAUUUAAACUUUGAAGUAUGCAUCUUAAAUUAAAGAAGAUGAUUUUACGGAUACCUUUCAGCCAUAUCAUCAUAUAAUAAGCAAAUAAUGAGCAGAUAAUGAGGAAAUAGUGAGAAGAAGAAUGUCGUUUGUUAAUAUAAAAAUAGGUAAAAAUUGUGGAGAUCUAAGUUUGAGUGGAUCAUCCGAUUACAUAGUAAUUGAGUUUGUAGUUUAUUUGAUUCAUUAAAGAUUGAAUACUGUAUUGUAUAACUAUAAAAAGAUAAUUUAAUAUAUAGACAAAAAAAACCGUGGCUAGAAUAUUAUGUAUAUAAAGUUAUAUUACAAUUUCUAUCUUUAUACAAUCCUAACCAUUGUACCUCUUCAUCUUUCUCUUUUGUUCUUCUUUUUGUUUUCAACUCCAUCACUUUUCAUUUGAUCUAAAUUUCAUAUACCAAUAUGAUUAAGUCAACCAACUAUGUUAAAAACAUAUACAUCACUUACAUAUGACAUAUUUAGAAAAAUUCAAACAGACAUAAAUUUCACAUUCUAUUUUUUUUUUCUUAACAAGAACUUUUAGUUCUAUUCUAUAUUAAUUUUUAUAGAAUAACACAUACUUUUAAACUCAGGAAUUCUAUAUUUUAAAGUAAAUACAUUUCAUAUUGAGUCAUUUAGCUAAAUAAUGUUUGAAAUGUGUCUAUAGAAUGCAAUUGCUCUUUCAUAUUUACAGAAACCAUAUACGCAUCAGAUAUGCAGUUUAAUUGUUAAAACAUUCAAUCAAAUGAAAUACUUUCACAUGUAUAUUACAUGGUUACCAAACAUGGAACAAUUUUUUUUAUAAUUUUUGUACUUACAUCAAUCAUAUACACAACAUAACAGAGGUCCGGCCGUCCAAAUGAUCGACAUCUACCUACCACAAAUACAUAAUAACUAGGUGAUAAUCUGCGCCGUGCGCGGGGUAUAAAAUCUAUAAAUGAAUUUUGAUUUGAAUAAUGUAUAGAGUUUAUAUUACGUUGAUUAGUGGUUAUUGAACGUCUAAAAUAAUGAAAAAAAUUAUAAUUUUGUUUCUACGCAUAAUAAUUACAAUUCAAAAUAUAACUCAAACGGAUUGAGCCGUAUUAUAAAAUUAAGGUAUAAGGCCGAGAAAAAAUUGUAAACCAUAUUGUAUUGUAUCUAACUUAUUGGGCUUACAAUAUCAAAUGGGCUAUGUUUUUGUUUUGUUCUCUAUUUACUCAAGAGAAGCGACAGAAAAAAAAAUCUCCACGGUGUUUCGAUGGUCGGAAUAGAAAGGGGAUAAGGGUUUCUCAAUUCGGAUUGCACCCAACCAGCGAAAAAGAUUCGAUGGCUUAAACUGGUUCGCUUUCUUCAGCGAGGGUUCGUUUAUCUUAACAAAUGUGUGAAAGGGUUUAGUGUCGAUGGUCUUAACUGAUGAUGGUAUACCUAGUGUGAAUCCCCUUUAUAUAUAAGAGAACGUUAGGGUCGUGAAUAUGUUAUUUCAAUAUAUUAUAAAUUUAUGAGCACAAUUUAAUGUUUCGCUUGGCAACCAAACAAUUUCCUUUGUUCAAUCAAAUCGUUAUUUACUAUAAUAUUUGUUUGACAAUAUUACCUUGUAUAAGAAAGAUCUGAUAUAUUGGAAGUAUAGUUCUUUGAGUGCA